CGCGUUUAUUCGUCAUUGUAUUUCCCUGCAUCAAAUGUCGUGAUGAACAUGUGUUACUUUCCGGUUGUCGUUGUCAAACUUUAAUGGUUUCUCUCAUAUUAAGCCAUACAUCUUAUUUUAGAGAGCUUAACUUAACAACAAAUGAAAAGAUUGUAAAAUAAAGGGAUGUGGUAUGAUUGCCAAUGAGACAAUUAUCCAACAUAUCCCAAAUGAAGCAAACUCCAGUUUUAUAAUUGUACAGUUUCCAUAUGUAUGUAGCAAUGAAAUUAUCUAUGAAUAAACGAAGAUAUGCGGACAUUUCAAUGAGGAAAUAACAUAACUACACAAGAAAACCAGAAAAUAUUUUUUUUUACAGUGAUCCACAAUCAUGUAUCUUCGUGUAAGGCAUGCCUGUACCAGAAUAUUACCCUUCUAUCCUCAGUUUACGGGGAUGGUUCAUACUAGACUGAUAUAGAUCAAAAGCUCUCAUCAAGAUAUGCAUAACAUUCCCCAUUUCUUUGACAUUCCCCAUUUCCAUUCUCAAUUUUAAAACAACCUUUUUUAGGCGUAAUGACAUUUGUUAUGACAUUUUCGAAGAAUGUUCAAGAAAGAUCUACGAGAAACCAAGCAAACUUUGCAAUAGUGUAUCACCGAUAUUUCAUAUAAACAAAGUCACUUUUAAAAUAUAUGGUGGUAAGACAAGUUUCAUGUAAAAAAUCUCCCCCUUACAAAACAAGUGAAAUAGGGAAUGAUUUUUUUAAAAACACUUAGAUUCCUCCAAUUAUAUUUAACAGAAGUAGAAUCUUCUGGUUCAAAAAGGUAGAAUCUACUGGUUCAAAAAGCUCAUUGGGUUCAUCAAGACGUUCAAUAAAAUAAAUAACUAUAUUUUGCCAAAAAUAUGAUAAUAGAAAUAUAAAGUUUAAUUGGUCAUUUUUUUUAUACACUUUAAAUACCAUUGAAAUUGUUCUAAGAUCAAAAGUCAUGAGUCUCUUUGACCCUAUUAGAUAAACCAAUCAAGACUGACAAAUCAGAACGAUUUAUGUACGAAAUAUUUCGACUAGUCUUGUAUGUUGCAUUAAACUCAAACAAUAAGCUUGUUCUUGGAGUAAAGUAUCUUUCAAUAAUGUACGGCAAAUUUCUGUUGUAUUUAUUUCACCAGCGGCGUAUAUUUCAGGUAGUCGAUACUGUAAUUGAUAGUGUCCUUUAUUUUGUCAUUGUACGAAAAAAGUUUUUUUUUUUUAAUAAAAAGACAACAUGAGAAGCGACAAAGGCUGUUAACGUCCACGUCCGGUGGUCUCUGGUGGAUAGUUGUCUCAUUGGGUAUGGGUUUUGUUGAAGGUCUGACGUUGACACUUGUCCUUGUGCUUUAGUCUCUGGUGGAUAGUAGUCUCAUUGGGUAUGGGUUUUGUUGAAGGUCUGACGUUGACACUUGUCCUUGUGCUUUAGUCUCUGGUGGAUAGUAGUCUCAUUGGGUAUGGGUUUUGUUGAAGGUCUUACGGUGACACUAGUCUUGUCCUUGUGUUUUGGUCUCUGGUGACCUUGUGCUUUGGUCUCUGGUGGAUAGUAGUCUCAUUUGGGUAUGGUUUUUGUUGAAGGUCUUACGGUGAAACUAGUCUUGUCCUUGUGCAUUGGUCUCUGAUGGAUAGUAAUCUCAUUAUAUACUGCAGCUGUGAUAUUUGCGCAGUCAAAUUGCAUUGACCGUAUAAUCAUUUGUGAUAUACAGUCACUGACCGUAUAUCGCCUUGUUUAUGACGUUGACAAUGCGUUUACGUAGAGUUUUAUUUAUGACGUCAUUUAAUGUACAGGUUCGCAGAAUGUUUACGUCAUUCGCUCCAAAUUAAAAAAUGAUGGUUUUUACCCUAAAUAUUUUAUUUGGAACAGUUGUAGGAGUUGCAGUAUAUAAAGAAUAACCAUACAUUGUCUCGAAAUAUAAAUUUUAUUUGUA
Molecule: long non-coding RNA, 1924 nt
Organism: Mytilus californianus (California mussel)
Lineage: Eukaryota; Metazoa; Mollusca; Bivalvia; Mytilida; Mytilidae
Exons: 3
Source: RefSeq, a predicted model, not a curated record